UACGUAGGGUGCGAGCGUUAAUCGGAAUUACUGGGCGUAAAGCGUGCGCAGGCGGUUCGUUAAGUCAGAUGUGAAAGCCCCGGGCUCAACCUGGGAACGGCAUUUGAGACUGGCGAGCUGGAGUCUGGCAGAGGGGGGUGGAAUUCCACGUGUAGCAGUGAAAUGCGUAGAGAUGUGGAGGAACACCGAUGGCGAAGGCAGCCCCCUGGGCUGAGACUGACGCUCAGGCGCGAAAGCGUGGGGAGCAAACAGG
Molecule: ribosomal RNA, 253 nt
Filed under: uncultured bacterium
Lineage: Bacteria
Description: partial 16S ribosomal RNA
Rfam family: Bacterial small subunit ribosomal RNA
Source: RNAcentral